GGAUGGGAGCCUGGGACACAGAGGGGGCUCCGAGACCGGGAUUGGUUCGGGACAAAUAUUUGAUGGACUAAUCCAAGGUUGACCAACUGCUUCUCACACCCAGCAGUUCAAACUAAGUCAAGAAGCUGGACAACUGACAGAACAAUACAGUCUUUCAGUGAUUCACCCGGGACUUUUAUUCUCGUUCAUCACAAUUAAUAUCGACAUUUUUCUUCACCAGCUGCAUGAUACAAGAUUCCAAGAAGCUGGCAGACUAUUGACUGUUUAAGAACAAAUGAAUUCCAACUCAAGUCCAUAGGUACAUAAAUUCGCAGAUUCAUGACCAAAGACAAAAGAAAAUGAGACUUGUCACAAACGUGAAAUGAUAAAUCGUGUUUGUUGAGCAAGGAUCUAGCUGAUGCCUGUGGGGAUCAGUAAAUCUAAUGACAAAUACAUGUAUAAUAUAAGAACAUAUAUGUAUGUCGUGUUGGGACCAUUAUUGUUCCUCUUCAUUUUUGGAGGUGUGAGCUGAAGUUGAAUAUUGAAAUUGGAACUUUGACCAGCAGUUUGCUUCUGCUUCAUUUAUAGAAGUAAACUAAACAGAUGUUUGCAUUUUGGAAAUGGCCUGGAAACGUAACUCUAGGUUAGUUAUUGUUCGAGGAACACUGAAGACAUUUCUGACUCAAAACUGAGUUUAAAUAAUAGACAUUAAUUAGAUUACCUUACUGUAUAACCUGGCUCUGAUAAAGGCAUAGCAUUAAUAUUAAAUUGUUCAUUUUAGUUCAAGUCAUAAAUUUGCUGUCAGGUGCCUGUUAUUCUUAGAGUUUGGUUAGGAGCAAUUGGGCAGUUUGGAGAAUCAUUGAAUAUCUUUAUUUCACUAUGUUGUGAAUGCAAUGAUAGCGAAUGUGAUUUAGCUUGUUGUCAUUGUGUUCUUAUGAAGAGCAAUCGCGCUGCCAAUGUGUUGGCUGGCAUAGGUACUGAACAGGAACUGAAAUCUGACACGAGACCCAAAUUGCAAUUAAAGGCUUCAGAAAUCACGGUGUGUGUGAUACAUCGGAGUGAGGCUAUGGCUUUGUGUAUCUCAAGUGAACUGUGUUGCGUUUUACAGUACAAUGUAAACUUUGGAUGUGUGUCAAUUAAAUAGUAAAAGUUGAAGCUGUCC
This is a long non-coding RNA of Chiloscyllium plagiosum (whitespotted bambooshark), 1141 nucleotides long. RefSeq lists it as uncharacterized. Lineage: Eukaryota; Metazoa; Chordata; Chondrichthyes; Orectolobiformes; Hemiscylliidae. The record is from RefSeq and is a predicted model, not a curated record.